GUGCGGCGUUGUGAAGUGUGCAAAGUAUAUGAUAAACGAACGAAAGUAAUAUCAUUUCACGCGGACAACUUUAUUUCUUCUUCUUGUUCUGGUUCAACUUUAACAAUGCCCUCAUCCAUGACUAUCUACAAGAACUAUUUUAAGCUAUACGACCACAAAAAUUGGGUUACCUGUACGACGAAUGCUAUGGCUUUAAAAUAAAUCACUAAUAGCACAGCGUAAAUACUAUCAUAGUUUAGGCUGUAGGUCGAUUUAGCAAGAAUCUGUUAUUUUUGAACAUAACCUUAAAUGCUUACUCCGUGACACCGUAAGUACAGAGCGGUCAUUAAGCUUCGAGUUAAAGUGAGGUAAAUCGACUACACCACAAAAUUUAUCGCGCUCCGGCAAGAUAGGUAGCCCGCCCCUGGUUUCGGGGUUUCGAGCCUACAGUUGAAUGUCGAAGACAAUCAUGGAAUUAGGUGUCGUACUUCAAAUGGUUACAGGGAGAAAAAUGUUAGUAACAAACAAUAAGUCAGUACAUACAUCAAACGAAUCGGGACAAGACGAAGUAAUUAACAUCAAUAAACAUAAAUUAAGUAAGCAUUAUACCAAAAACGUAAACAAUUACAAACAAUAGCAUAACGGUAUCAAAUAUGUGAUUCUGUAUUGCGGUUAAACCAAGUAAAUUUCAA
Molecule: long non-coding RNA, 671 nt
Organism: Photinus pyralis (common eastern firefly)
Lineage: Eukaryota; Metazoa; Arthropoda; Insecta; Coleoptera; Lampyridae
Exons: 3
Source: RefSeq, a predicted model, not a curated record